GCCAAUGUAGCUCAGUUGGUAGAGCACAUCCAUGGUAAGGAUGGGGUCGCCGGUCCGAUUCCGGCCAUUGGCU
RNAcentral lists this transfer RNA (73 nucleotides) under Bacteroidota bacterium. Its description in RNAcentral is "Bacteroidetes bacterium tRNA-Thr". It matches the Rfam family "tRNA". From Rfam's summary of the family: Transfer RNA (tRNA) molecules are approximately 80 nucleotides in length. Their secondary structure includes four short double-helical elements and three loops (D, anti-codon, and T loops). Further hydrogen bonds mediate the characteristic L-shaped molecular structure. tRNAs have two regions of fundamental functional importance: the anti-codon, which is responsible for specific mRNA codon recognition, and the 3' end, to which the tRNAs corresponding amino acid is attached (by aminoacyl-tRNA synthetases). tRNAs cope with the degeneracy of the genetic code in two manners: having more than one tRNA (with a specific anti-codon) for a particular amino acid; and 'wobble' base-pairing, i.e. permitting non-standard base-pairing at the 3rd anti-codon position. RNAcentral also lists the same sequence under 1 other name. Lineage: Bacteria; Pseudomonadati; Bacteroidota. The record is from RNAcentral.